Suricata suricatta (meerkat) is the source of this 359-nucleotide long non-coding RNA. RefSeq lists it as uncharacterized. The transcript is spliced from 2 exons. Lineage: Eukaryota; Metazoa; Chordata; Mammalia; Carnivora; Herpestidae. The record is from RefSeq and is a predicted model, not a curated record.
GGAUGAGAAGGGACCUGACUCGGCGUAUGUUUUGAACGCAGGCACGGUGGGACUCACCGAUGGGUGCGAGAGAAAGAGAUUCACAGCAAAAUUGAAGGGAACGCACUGAGCGGUCACCGCACAGGCUGAGUGUGGCCCACCAUCCUCACGGCACGGGGACUCGCCCAGCGUCAGCGCCGGUGUGCUGCCUGGGAGCCCCGCCCUCCAUGGGGGGACACGCCGGGAAGAACAUUUGUCAUGUGAUGUGCACACACUGACACGUCAUCUGUGCCUCACGGCCCAUUUAUCCCCUCACCUGCUGCGGGCCACCUCCAUUGUCUCCGAGUUUCGGUAAUUAUGAGUAAACUGCUAUAAACAUC